This 253-nucleotide unclassified non-coding RNA is filed under the name Hevea brasiliensis (rubber tree). Lineage: Eukaryota; Viridiplantae; Streptophyta; Magnoliopsida; Malpighiales; Euphorbiaceae. The record is from RNAcentral.
UGCCAUCAAACCAGUGGGUGGUAGGUAUUAAUACUUAGGUCUAUAUCUUUUUUCAACUCCAAUUUUCUUCUAGAACAAACCUUUCUUAGUAGAAUGGAGAUGUGCCCUAUUGAUUUGGGGAAGUUGGUGGUUGGAGAAGAGCAAGAUCACUUUCUGGAAUGGGCGGUAGGUUGUGAACCUCCUAGCUGUAUGAAAAAUCCCCUGACUUUAGAUAACAAGCGAACCAGCUAAGGUCAAAUAAGCCUUAUCCGAC